GGAGAGGUGGCCGAGUGGCUGAAGGCACUCGCCUGCUAAGCGAGUAUGGGUUGAUGCCCAUCGAGGGUUCGAAUCCCUCCCUCUCCG
This 87-nucleotide transfer RNA is filed under the name Pseudomonadales bacterium. RNAcentral's name for it is "tRNA-Ser". It matches the Rfam family "tRNA". From Rfam's summary of the family: Transfer RNA (tRNA) molecules are approximately 80 nucleotides in length. Their secondary structure includes four short double-helical elements and three loops (D, anti-codon, and T loops). Further hydrogen bonds mediate the characteristic L-shaped molecular structure. tRNAs have two regions of fundamental functional importance: the anti-codon, which is responsible for specific mRNA codon recognition, and the 3' end, to which the tRNAs corresponding amino acid is attached (by aminoacyl-tRNA synthetases). tRNAs cope with the degeneracy of the genetic code in two manners: having more than one tRNA (with a specific anti-codon) for a particular amino acid; and 'wobble' base-pairing, i.e. permitting non-standard base-pairing at the 3rd anti-codon position. Lineage: Bacteria; Pseudomonadati; Pseudomonadota; Gammaproteobacteria; Pseudomonadales. The record is from RNAcentral.